AACGUAGGGGGCGAGCGUUGUCCGGAAUUACUGGGCGUAAAGGGUGCGUAGGCGGCUACUUAAGUCCACGUGUGAAAGGCCCCGGCUCAACCGGGGAGUGGCACGGGAAACUGGGUAGCUUGAGUGCUGGAGAGGGUUGCGGAAUUCCCGGUGUAGCGGUGAAGUGCGUAGAUAUCGGGAGGAACACCAGUGGCGAAGGCGGCAACCUGGACAGUGACUGACGCUGAGGCACGACAGCUGGGGGAGCAAACAGG
RNAcentral lists this unclassified non-coding RNA (254 nucleotides) under uncultured Bacillota bacterium. RNAcentral's name for it is "uncultured Firmicutes bacterium contains 16S-23S intergenic spacer region". It matches the Rfam family "Bacterial small subunit ribosomal RNA", at positions 524 to 776 of the family's 1533-position model. The record is from RNAcentral. Lineage: Bacteria; Bacillati; Bacillota.